UACGUAGGGUGCGAGCGUUGUCCGGAAUUAUUGGGCGUAAAGAGCUCGUAGGCGGUCUGUCGCGUCGAUCGUGAAAACUUGGGGCUUAACCCUGAGCUUGCGGUCGAUACGGGCAUGACUGGAGUUCGGCAGGGGAGACUGGAAUUCCUGGUGUAGCGGUGAAAUGCGCAGAUAUCAGGAGGAACACCAGUGGCGAAGGCGGCAUCCUGGACCAAUAUUGACGCUGAGGAGCGAAAGCCAGGGGAGCAAACGGG
This 254-nucleotide ribosomal RNA is filed under the name uncultured bacterium. Its description in RNAcentral is "partial 16S ribosomal RNA". It matches the Rfam family "Bacterial small subunit ribosomal RNA", at positions 524 to 776 of the family's 1533-position model. The record is from RNAcentral.